UGCUAGUUUUCUAGCGAAUGGUUCAUUCUUUUUUACUGUGAACUGUUUUAAUUUUUCAGCGUCUGAGGAAUGUCUUUUAGCCAUAGGGAUAGGCUACUAGAAUGUUAACCGAGCUGAAAGUCAGGCUUAGGCCUGGUAUCCUAUUAAUUAUUUACCAAAAGAAUUCAGUAUUAUAAUUGUAACAUAAGCGUAAAAAACUUAUAAAACAACUUUUAACAACGGAUCUCUUGGUUCUCGCAUCGAUGAAGAACGUAGCAAAGUGCGAUAACUAGUGUGAAUUGCAUAUUCAGUGAAUCAUCGAGUCUUUGAACGCAACUUGCGCUCAAUGGUAUUCCAUUGAGCACGCCUGUUUCAGUAUCAAAAACACCCCACAUUCAUAAUUUUGUUGUGAAUGGAAAUGAGAGUUUCGGCUUUAUUGCUGAAUUCUUUAAAAUUAUUAGGCCUGAACUAUUGUUCUUUCUGCCUGAACAUUUUUUUAAUAUAAAGGAAUGCUCUAGUAAAAAGACUAUCUCUGGGGCCUCCCAAAUAAAUCAUUCUUAAAUUUGAUCUGAAAUCAGGCGGGAUUACCCGCUGAACUUAAGCAUAUCAAUAAGCGGAGGAA
RNAcentral lists this ribosomal RNA (601 nucleotides) under Mucor hiemalis. RNAcentral describes it as "eukaryotic LSU rRNA". The stretch from base 208 to 360 matches the Rfam family "5.8S ribosomal RNA". The record is from RNAcentral. Lineage: Eukaryota; Fungi; Mucoromycota; Mucoromycetes; Mucorales; Mucoraceae.